Molecule: non-coding RNA, 206 nt
Organism: Oryza glaberrima (African rice)
Lineage: Eukaryota; Viridiplantae; Streptophyta; Magnoliopsida; Poales; Poaceae
Source: Rfam
AAUAAAUAUAAUUUUACACCGUUCAUCUUCAACAUUUGACCAUUUGUUUUAUUUAAAUUUUUUUAUGAUUAGUAUUUUUAUUGUUAUUAGAUAUAAAACAUUAAUAGUAUUUAAAGCAUGACUAAUUAUUUUUAAUUUUUUUCAUAAUUUUAUAAAUAAGAUGGACGAUCAAACACUGUACAUAGAUACCCUCGACUAUAGUUAUU